This 72-nucleotide transfer RNA is filed under the name Acrocephalus arundinaceus (great reed warbler). RNAcentral describes it as "tRNA-Glu". It matches the Rfam family "tRNA". From Rfam's summary of the family: Transfer RNA (tRNA) molecules are approximately 80 nucleotides in length. Their secondary structure includes four short double-helical elements and three loops (D, anti-codon, and T loops). Further hydrogen bonds mediate the characteristic L-shaped molecular structure. tRNAs have two regions of fundamental functional importance: the anti-codon, which is responsible for specific mRNA codon recognition, and the 3' end, to which the tRNAs corresponding amino acid is attached (by aminoacyl-tRNA synthetases). tRNAs cope with the degeneracy of the genetic code in two manners: having more than one tRNA (with a specific anti-codon) for a particular amino acid; and 'wobble' base-pairing, i.e. permitting non-standard base-pairing at the 3rd anti-codon position. RNAcentral also lists the same sequence under 1 other name. The record is from RNAcentral. Lineage: Eukaryota; Metazoa; Chordata; Aves; Passeriformes; Sylviidae.
GUUCCCGUAGUUAAAGUUUUAUAACGGUGGUUUUUCAGGCCAUAGAUCUCGGAGAGAGGCCGAGUGGGAAUU